GGGGAUUUAGCUCAGUGGUGGAGCGCUUGCCUAGCAAGCACAGGGCCCUAGGUUCAGUCCCCA
RNAcentral lists this transfer RNA (63 nucleotides) under Rattus norvegicus (Norway rat). It matches the Rfam family "tRNA". Rfam says of the family: Transfer RNA (tRNA) molecules are approximately 80 nucleotides in length. Lineage: Eukaryota; Metazoa; Chordata; Mammalia; Rodentia; Muridae. The record is from Rfam by way of RNAcentral.